CCUACGGGAGGCAGCAGUGAGGAAUAUUGGACAAUGGGCGCAAGCCUGAUCCAGCCAUGCCGCGUGCAGGAUGACGGUCCUAUGGAUUGUAAACUGCUUUUGUACGAGAAGAAACACUGCCUCGUGAAGCAGCUUGACGGUAUCGUAAGAAUAAGGAUCGGCUAACUCCGUGCCAGCAGCCGCGGUAAU
This 189-nucleotide ribosomal RNA is filed under the name uncultured bacterium. RNAcentral's name for it is "partial 16S ribosomal RNA". It matches the Rfam family "Bacterial small subunit ribosomal RNA", at positions 338 to 524 of the family's 1533-position model. The record is from RNAcentral.